Molecule: small nucleolar RNA, 107 nt
Organism: Gossypium raimondii (Peruvian cotton)
Lineage: Eukaryota; Viridiplantae; Streptophyta; Magnoliopsida; Malvales; Malvaceae
Rfam family: Plant small nucleolar RNA R71
About the family: R71 is a member of the C/D box family of snoRNAs containing the C (UGAUGA) and D (CUGA) box motifs. Multiple nearly identical copies of this snoRNA have been identified in Arabidopsis, and it is thought to function as a 2'-O-ribose methylation guide for 18S ribosomal RNA.
Source: Rfam
AUUCUUUAAUGAGGGCACUUUCAUAAUAAUUUUUUGUACCUUUCCCAUGCCUCAUACAAAGACUCAUCAUCCAUUUGUUGGAAAUCAAUGAUCUCGUUCCUCAACUU